Molecule: ribosomal RNA, 493 nt
Filed under: uncultured bacterium
Lineage: Bacteria
Description: partial 16S ribosomal RNA
Rfam family: Bacterial small subunit ribosomal RNA
Source: RNAcentral
GAGUGAACGCUGGCGGUAGGCCUAACACAUGCAAGUCGAACGGCAGCACAGUAAGAGCUUGCUCUUACGGGUGGCGAGUGGCGGACGGGUGAGGAAUACAUCGGAAUCUACUUUUUCGUGGGGGAUAACGUAGGGAAACUUACGCUAAUACCGCAUAUGACCUACGGGUGAAAGCAGGGGAUCUUCGGACCUUGCGCGAUUGAAUGAGCCGAUGUCGGAUUAGCUAGUUGGCGGGGUAAAGGCCCACCAAGGCGACGAUCCGUAGCUGGUCUGAGAGGAUGAUCAGCCACACUGGAACUGAGACACGGUCCAGACUCCUACGGGAGGCAGCAGUGGGGAAUAUUGGACAAUGGGCGCAAGCCUGAUCCAGCCAUACCGCGUGGGUGAAGAAGGCCUUCGGGUUGUAAAGCCCUUUUGUUGGGAAAGAAAAGCAGCAGGUUAAUACCCCGCUGUUCUGACGGUACCCAAAGAAUAAGCACCGGCUAACUUCGUG